AAAGUAGGCGCAGGCGGUUGCGGGCUAGCGAAAGUUAGCCUGAGGAAAGUCCGGGCUCCCGAAAGACCAAACUUGCUGGGUAACGCCCAGUGCGAGCGAUCGUGAGGAUAGUGCCACAGAAAUAUACCGCCCCCGCGAUUUUAGAUAGUAGAUUUUAGAUUGAAUCGAAAAUCGAGAGUUGAAAGCUGAAAAUUGUCGGGGGUAAGGGUGCAAAGGUGCGGUAAGAGCGCACCAGCAGCAUCGAGAGGUGCUGGCUAGGUAAACCCCGGUUGGGAGCAAGGUCGGAGGAACUAGGGUUGGUCUUUUACCAGUUCCGUUUUAGGGCACCGCUUGAGGCGUCUGGUAACGGGCGUCCCAGAUAGAUAACUGCCCUCAAAACUGCUUGCAGUUGAGAGAACAGAACCCGGCUUAUGUCCGACUUUUUCC
This 426-nucleotide RNase P RNA is filed under the name Oscillatoriales cyanobacterium RU_3_3. RNAcentral's name for it is "RNase P RNA component class A". It matches the Rfam family "Bacterial RNase P class A". From Rfam's summary of the family: Ribonuclease P (RNase P) is a ubiquitous endoribonuclease, found in archaea, bacteria and eukarya as well as chloroplasts and mitochondria. Lineage: Bacteria; Bacillati; Cyanobacteriota; Cyanophyceae; Oscillatoriales. The record is from RNAcentral.